Molecule: ribosomal RNA, 549 nt
Filed under: uncultured Acaulosporaceae
Lineage: Eukaryota; Fungi; Glomeromycota; Glomeromycetes; Diversisporales; Acaulosporaceae
Description: SSU rRNA
Rfam family: Eukaryotic small subunit ribosomal RNA
Source: RNAcentral
UUGGAGGGCAAGUCUGGUGCCAGCAGCCGCGGUAAUUCCAGCUCCAAUAGCGUAUAUUAAAGUUGUCGCAGUUAAAAAGCUCGUAGUUGAAUUUCGGAGUUUGUCGGUCGGUCGGGCUUCACUGUCCGCACUGGCCUGACGGAUUCCUACCUUCUGAAUAACCAGCAUACUAUUAAGUUAGUGCGUUGGGGAAGCAGAGCUAUUACCUUGAAAAAAUUAGAGUGCUUAAAGCAGGCUUAUGCUUGAAUAGAUUAGCAUGGAAUAAUAAAAUAGGACGGCAUGGUUCUAUUUUGUUGGUUUCUAGGAUCACCGUAAUGAUUAAUAGGGAUAGUUGGGGGCAUUAGUAUUCAAUUGUCAGAGGUGAAAUUCUUGGAUUUAUUGAAGACUAACUUCUGCGAAAGCAUUUGCCAAGGAUGUUUUCAUUAAUCAAGAACGAAAGUUAGGGGAUCGAAGACGAUCAGAUACCGUCGUAGUCUUAACCAUAAACUAUGCCGACUAGGGAUCGGAUGAUGUUAAUUAUUAUAACUCAUUCGGCGCCUUACGGGAAAC